Molecule: ribosomal RNA, 469 nt
Filed under: uncultured bacterium
Lineage: Bacteria
Description: partial 16S ribosomal RNA
Rfam family: Bacterial small subunit ribosomal RNA
Source: RNAcentral
GACGAACGCUGGCGGCGUGCUUAACACAUGCAAGUCGAACGAUGAAGCACCAGCUUGCUGGUGUGGAUUAGUGGCGAACGGGUGAGUAACACGUGAGUAACCUGCCCCUCACUCUGGGAUAAGCCUGGGAAACUGGGUCUAAUACUGGAUACGACCGAUCUCCGCAUGGAGUGUUGGUGGAAAGUUUUUGUGGUGGGGGAUGGACUCGCGGCCUAUCAGCUUGUUGGUGGGGUAGUGGCCUACCAAGGCGACGACGGGUAGCCGGCCUGAGAGGGCGGCCGGCCACACUGGGACUGAGACACGGCCCAGACUCCUACGGGAGGCAGCAGUGGGGAAUAUUGCACAAUGGGCGAAAGCCUGAUGCAGCGACGCCGCGUGAGGGAUGACGGCCUUCGGGUUGUAAACCUCUUUCACCAGGGACGAAGCUAACGUGACGGUACCUGGAGAAGAAGCACCGGCUAACUACGUG